GGGAGGCAGCAGCAGGGAAUCUUGGGCAAUGGGCGAAAGCCUGACCCAGCGACGUCGCGUGGGGGACGAAGGCCUUAGGGUUGUAAACCCCUUUUCUGAGGGAAGAGACAGGACGGUACCUCGGGAAUAAGCCCCGGCUAACUACGUGCCAGCAGCCGCGGUAAUACGUAGGGGGCGAGCGUUAUCCGGAAUCACUGGGCGUAAAGUGCGCGUAGGCGGUUUGAUAAGUCUCUUGUGAAAGCUCCCGGCUCAACUGGGAGAGGUCAAGGGAUACUAUUCGACUUGAGGACAGCAGAGGUAAGCRGAAUUCCCGGUGUAGCGGUGGAAUGCGUAGAUAUCGGGAGGAACACCAGUGGCGAAAGCGGCUUUCUGGGCCGUAUCUGACGCUGAGGCGCGAGAGCGUGGGGAGCAAACYGGAUUAGAUACCCCGGUAGUCCACGCCCUAAACGAUGGAUACUAGGUAUGGGGGGUAUUGACCCCCUCCGUGCCGCAGCUAACGCGUUAAGUMUCCCGCCUG
RNAcentral lists this ribosomal RNA (517 nucleotides) under uncultured Chloroflexota bacterium. Its description in RNAcentral is "bacterial SSU rRNA". It matches the Rfam family "Bacterial small subunit ribosomal RNA", at positions 343 to 875 of the family's 1533-position model. The record is from RNAcentral. Lineage: Bacteria; Bacillati; Chloroflexota.